This 934-nucleotide ribosomal RNA is filed under the name uncultured Gram-positive bacterium. RNAcentral's name for it is "bacterial SSU rRNA". It matches the Rfam family "Bacterial small subunit ribosomal RNA", at positions 9 to 924 of the family's 1533-position model. The record is from RNAcentral.
GAGUUUGAUUCUGGCUCAGGAUGAACGCUGGCGGCGUGCCUAAUACAUGCAAGUCGAGCGAACAGACGAGGAGCUUGCUCCUCUGACGUUAGCGGCGGACGGGUGAGUAACACGUGGAUAACCUACCUAUAAGACUGGGAUAACUUCGGGAAACCGGAGCUAAUACCGGAUAAUAUAUUGAACCGCAUGGUUCAAUAGUGAAAGACGGUUUUGCUGUCACUUAUAGAUGGAUCCGCGCCGCAUUAGCUAGUUGGUAAGGUAACGGCUUACCAAGGCAACGAUGCGUAGCCGACCUGAGAGGGUGAUCGGCCACACUGGAACUGAGACACGGUCCAGACUCCUACGGGAGGCAGCAGUAGGGAAUCUUCCGCAAUGGGCGAAAGCCUGACGGAGCAACGCCGCGUGAGUGAUGAAGGUCUUCGGAUCGUAAAACUCUGUUAUUAGGGAAGAACAAAUGUGUAAGUAACUAUGCACGUCUUGACGGUACCUAAUCAGAAAGCCACGGCUAACUACGUGCCAGCAGCCGCGGUAAUACGUAGGUGGCAAGCGUUAUCCGGAAUUAUUGGGCGUAAAGCGCGCGUAGGCGGUUUUUUAAGUCUGAUGUGAAAGCCCACGGCUCAACCGUGGAGGGUCAUUGGAAACUGGAAAACUUGAGUGCAGAAGAGGAAAGUGGAAUUCCAUGUGUAGCGGUGAAACGCGCAGAGAUAUGGAGGAACACCAGUGGCGAAGGCGACUUUCUGGUCUGUAACUGACGCUGAUGUGCGAAAGCGUGGGGAUCAAACAGGAUUAGAUACCCUGGUAGUCCACGCCGUAAACGAUGAGUGCUAAGUGUUAGGGGGUUUCCGCCCCUUAGUGCUGCAGCUAACGCAUUAAGCACUCCGCCUGGGGAGUACGACCGCAAGGUUGAAACUCAAAGGAAUUGACGGGGACCCGC